GCUUUCGGCGCCAUUUUCGAGUGAUGCCUGAUCUCAUCAAUCUAGCGGGAGGGACGGGACAACCUGUCCGAGAGUAUAGCGCCACUAGGACUCCGCCAAAAAAUCGCUAAAAAAUCACCAAAAAUUACUUGGAGCAAAGGGCAGUCCAUGGUGCUUCGCCAAGGUUGGCGCAGUCGUCUUUGAGACAUUUGCAAGGGGAAAAAGCGACCUGUGAAACUGUUUUGAUGUUUUCCUCCCGAAAAGUCUGUACCCGGACAACUUAACGGUUUUGACCUUUAGGAGAGAGCCAAUUCUGGAGAACAACCUAACUUCUUUGAAUACUCACAAAACACACGGGAACAUGAUAGGAGAGUAAGAUGUAUUUAUUUACUUGUGAGCCAGAGUUACAGAGAGGGGGAGAGACAGAAGUCAUCCAUCUGCUGGUUCACUCCUCAAAUGGCCACAGUGGACGGAACUGAGCCAACCCAAAGCCAGGAGCCAGGAGCUUCUUCCAGAUCUGUUUAUUUACUAGAGAAGUAGAGGCAGAGAGAAAGAGGUCUUCCAUCCACUGGUUCACUCUCCAGAUGGCCAUAACAGCUGUAGCUGUGCUGAUCCGAAGCCAGGAGCUUCUUCCGGGGUUCAAGGACUUGAGCCAUCUUCUGCUGCUUUCCCAGACCAUAACUGAACUGGAUUGGAAGUGGAGAGGCCGAGUUAGAGAGAAAAAGGUCUUCCUUCCGUUGGUUCAUCCCCCAGAUGGCUGCUACGGCUGACGCGCUGCACCCAUCCGAAGCCAGGAGCCAAAUACUUCCUCCUGGUCUCCCAUGUGGGUGCAGGGCCCAAGCACUUGGGCCAUCCUCCACUGCCUUCCCAGACCACAGCAGAGAGCUGGACUGGAAGAGGAGCAACUAGGACAGAAUCCAGCACCGCAACCAGGACUAGAAUCUGGGGUGCCGGUGCAGGCGGAGGAUUAGCCAAGUGAGCCGCGACGCUGGCUUGAAUAAUUUUUUAAACAGAUCUUUCUGCAGGUGGGAAGGCUGAACAUAACCAGGGUCCUUCAACUGGUUCUUACAACAUGAAUUCUAGACCAGUAUCCUGGAUAUUUCACUUUGGGUCUGCAACAUUUUGUAGUAUUUCUUUAAAAAUAUUUUGUAUAAAAUUGAGCCCAUCCUACUUGAUGUGACCAAAGAACAAAAGACAGUGCAUCUCUUAAGAAUAAGAUGUCUUUUGAGGGUGCACUUCCAGAUGUAAAUUCCACUUUUACCAAGUUAGUUGAAUUCAUGCAUGAGGAACCCAGAUACAGAGAACCAAUGGUGAUUACAAUUUAAUGAUUGUGUUGAAUGUCAUCAAGUGAUUCCUGAAAGAACUUGUGCAGCUUCAGAUGAAUUUAUUUUACUAAGCAUGUUUAUUCAAGGUAUGAAUUUUGGCACCAUUGCUGUUCCCCUUAGAAAAGAAUGUCACAUCUCCAUCUUACGCCUGUAAGAAAACUCCUACUUGUUUUUUAUUAUGAGGGUCAGUGACUGAAAUGUGUUAAUACCCUUAAACCUUAUCUUCUCUUUUAAUAAAACAAAGGUCUUUCCCAGUAUUAAACUGAGGGAAUGGAAUUGAGAAUUUAAAAUCCCAAAGUUAAAAUCCAAGUUAAAACCAUAAAAUUGACAUGGCUUUAAUUUCUCAAAUGGAAAGGCAAGUAAUUGAAUUGGGGGAAGUGUGCUGGUCUCCAUUUGCAAGAAACAGUACAGCACAAAGACCUGGCAUUCUGGCUGAAGAGCUGUAAUAAUAAACAGAAAUCUGAAAACCAGGAAGACAAGUUUUCCAAGAGUGCAACUGUGGCAUUUCAAAGGAGAUUUAACAAAAAAUUCCGGAAGAUGGCCAAAAAUAGAUUUAGGUAAUUGAGAUUCCUUGUUUGACUACUUAUUUUUGAUGGAGAAACACACUUAAGAGGAAGUGAAGGUUCUAAGGUCUGAAAUUUUUUUGCAUCCUAAAUUGGUUUUGCUUUUGAAGAAAACCAUUAGCCAAAAACAAACAAAUCGAAAUUCAACACUGCUUGAAUUAUGAUGCUGCUUAAAAUGUAGAAGUUUUUUUUAAAGUGACCAAAGCAACACUUUUUAAAAGUUGAAUGAAAGGAACGAAAGCAAAUAUUUUGGUUUUCUAGAAGUGAAACCUUGUUUUGUAGGGUUUCUGUUGACAAGUGAAAGUAUCUUUCUGUUUACUCACUUACACUUAACUACUUGUCAUAAAGCCUUCCCGUCAUUAGGUAAAAAAUAUAUUACUCUAUAUCUUUAUGGUUUUUAUCAUACUGCAUGUUAGUGAUAUGUACGGAAACCUAAAAUGUUAAUCUGAGUUUCCAAAUAGCCUUUGCAAACACUGGUAAUACAUCUUCUGCAUGUGUAAAGAUCUUUUGGACUAUUUCACUUUAACCCUUGAACUACUUGGUUAAUCCAAGUUCAGUGAAUGUACAAGCUCAAAUUUAGUUAUCCAGAGCUCGGAACAUUUCUUUCUGUUUUUCUGUCCUAGUUGCAUCUAACUUACAUGCUGGCCUGCUGACUUAUCUUUUCAUGACUCCUAAAUUAUGGAGGAGUGCUGUCAGAGCCGCACUGGAAAACCAGGUCGUGGUAAGAAGGUCUUUGUGGAGGCAGUGGAAGGAAGGUCACCUGCGGGGGGAAGGAGUUGCUAUUCCAGGAUACAGAGAAAACACACACUCCUAUCUGAGACAACUGGGGCUGGGCCAAGGCAGAAGUUAGGAGCAGCAAACUCAAUCCAGAUCUGCCAGUGUGGGUGGCAGGAACCCAACCACUUGAGCCACUGCCUUCCUGAGUUCACAUUAGCAGGAAUCUGGAGCUAAGUAUCAAACCCAGGCACUCCAAUGUAGGACAACAUGCCAAAUGCCACCACAGGACAUUGUUUUGGAAGGAAAUGUUUUUCGAGGAAAACAUCUGACUGGAAUCUUGACCAAAGUUGAAUUACUAUUCUAACAAAUUCUAAUAAAAGAACUGCAUACAUGAAACAUAUUUUAUAAUAGUUUAUAUUUGCACACAAAAUCUGCCACAUUGUUCAGCACCACCAAACUAAAAUUCCUGAAUUUUUCACUGAAAAUGAGAAACCCAUCUGUCACCUGUUCCCAGUAAAAAAUGGAUUGUUCUACAAAAUCAGCUUGCUUAGUCAGAUAAGAACUGAAGUUUGAAAGGUGGUCUUUCCAUGCUGCCAAUUCAUCAAACAAAGACCAUUCUAGGAAUACAGUAGGACUGAAGAGAACGAGGAGGCCAAGCAGAAGGACCACCACAAGUAGCUGAUAAAAGCGCCAGGGAAUCUUGCUAAUGAAUGUGCUAGUGUCUUGAGGCAAAGAAAGUUUAUCCACGUCUACUAAUUUGAUGUCCUCCCACUGACUGGUAUCAAAGUUCUUCAUUAAAGGGCUUGUGGGCAAAUUAGAGGGAGGUAAAGGAGUUUCCUUGAUUACUUUGAUUUUCUCCCUGAACUCCUGCAUCUGUUGCAGAAAUAUGAUGGGCUCUGACACGUCUUUAAAUGCCUCAGCGAUGUUAAAGGCCAUUCGUUGUUCCUGCAAGAUGGUGUUGAGUUUGUUGAUCUCUGGGUCAUAGGCUUGCAUCACUGCAAGUUUCAUGGUCUCAAAGUCAGAUAGGAUUUCAUUCUUCUUUUGAUCCAAUGUAUGUUGUAAUUUCUCAAAAAACUCCUUCACUUUAUCUGAAUCUUUAGUCAGUAACUGUAGGGAUUUCCUCUUGCUCGUUUCCAAGGUAUCCAAGCGAGAAAGAGCAUCUCCCCGACGCCAUGUCUCAAAGCUCUGGAAGAGGGAUUCAAAAGCAUUCCUUUCCUGAGCAUAGGCAUCUUCAAUAGAACAGAAGACAUGCUUGGUGUGGUCACCACGGGUAGCACAGAUCCCACAAAUCAGCUGCAUAUCAGUCAGGCAGAAAAUGUUUAGAGGCUGUCCCAAGUGUCCUUUGCACACUGGCAUCUUGGGAGAAAUCUUGAUCUUGUUAUACUUUUCCACAAUACCCUUCAGGGAAUAAUUAACCUGCAGGCUGUUAACUCCAGUAGCUGAUGUUUCCUUACGGCAGGUGGGGCACUUGAAUGGCGAUGGUCUCCACAACGAAUUCCGCACAUUCCCCUCUAAGAGACCUUCCAAGCAUUUUUUGCAGAAGUUGUGUGAGCAAGGCAAAACUCGUGGAUCAUCAAACAGACUGCAACAGAUUGGGCACGUCAGAUCUUCUUCAAGCAGCUCCAUCACAUCCUAGCACAGAAAAAGACAUUUUAUUUUACCCCAGUAAUCUCCUUUACUAUGACUUUUAUUAGAAAAAGCUAUCUUCACAUUAAAAUGACCCUUCACUGAAAUAACCAGCCAAACAAAAAUAAGUGAGAAAUCUGGGAAGGGAAUGCACACCAAAGCAGAUUUAAUCUGCCGGGACUAGAACACACUCCUCAUUAGUGGGGCACCCUGUACACAAGGCCUUUGUGUGGACUUCCCAACAACAGUCUUUGGCUGAGACAGGGUUAGGACCAGGACAACUGCAAGUUGAGCCAGUAGGACCCAAUUGAUUGUUUUAAAACAGAGCUGACUACUAGCUGUCAGAAACAAAGCUACUCAGUGUCUAUAAUAGAAUGAGCUCUUUACUCUGGGCCCACAAACAUAAAAUGGUAUGCUAUUUAAAAGAAAGAAGCACAGAAAUACUAUAAAUCCAAGCAUGUACCCUCCUGCAGACUUAUAUUAGAAGUUGGCAUAUUUUUCUAUUUCCAAGCUAAGAUUACAAUCACUAAAUUACAGGUAAAAGCACAAGAUAGUUGUGAUUCACUCUUCCCUAGGGAAUUCAGUUUUUGUCAUUUUUAAACUACAAAGGCAGUAAUCAAAGCCGUCUUAUUUGCACCAUCACUUAUCAAAGUGUGGGCAGAAACGUGGGUGUCCCUCUUUUAGGGCAUCUGUGAGCUUAUUUUCAUAAUAGUACAGGUGACAUUUGCUUUCUGAACCCCUGUUAACAUUUGCACUGACAGUAAAAGCAAUGGCAGGAUGGAGCUUUAACAAGAAAUCAAGGCAAUAAGCAUCAACAAAUUGUAUCACCAGUCAUUUUAUUUAUCAGCAUUAAUUCCUGGUAGGGUUGGGGAGCCAGAUUCAUUUAAGAAUGUUCCUGAUGAACAGAAAAAGUAUUAAUUUUAUUAUACCUCAAUCCUUGUAUGCAUGUCUUUUUAAUAUUUGGUCUGACAAAAUGAGAAGUACAUACACAGCACUUCUGCAUACCAGAGUUGUUAUGUGGAGGAAAAGCACUUAUAUAACUGAGUUGCAAGCUGAACCUGCUGCUUUUUGCAUAGCCAACCAUGGCUGUUCAGAUUUAGAUAUAGGAUAGGCAUUUUCUUGAACAAAAUGAGCUUGUUACUUCAAGGAAAACAAGUAACAGUAUUUCUUACCAGUGAAAAGGUUUUUAUGUGAAAAUUAGUCUUUUGGAAAACAUACUUGCCACUUCUGAGCUUCACAGCUUCCCAUUAAAGACUUUUCUGAUGAAAUCAAUGGUUAUAUUACUUCAUGUCUGGAGGUGGGGUGGAGUAUUGUUUUCUGAAACGUCAGUAUUUGAAGAUCUAAAUGACACAGUGAGCUAAUAUUUUCUCAAGUCUGCAUGCAUAAUGUUGUGCAUAGAUAAAAGAUCCAUUUAAAGUAGCAGACAGUCCAAUAAGUUCUUUAAAUAUGACUUAAGGAUCCAUACUGCAACAAGAAACUAACACUGGUCAAGUUCGGGUAUGGUAUCAAAAAAAAGCCACAAUUACCAUGAAAAGGGCAUUAAAAUAUUCUUCCUUUUACCAACCACAUAUCUAUAUAUGCCAGACUUUUUCUUUAUAUUUCAACCAAAAUAAUGUAUUGCAGAAGGUUCAAAACAGAAGCACAUAAAACACUCCAGUUGUCUUCCAUUUAGUAAGCAUUCAUUAAAGACAUAAACAUAUAAAGGAAUGCCACUCUUCUCACAAUUUUGUUCUGGAAAAUAGUUAUUUUUCCUAAAUUACUUGUUCACAUGUAAUGAGUUUAUCAGUUAUUAUAAAUGAAUUACUAUAUUUUCAUGUUCUGUUUUAACUACUAAUACAGUGAAAAGACUCAUAAACAAAAGUUCUUGGGAUCUUCAGUUUUUUGGGAGUGUAAUAAUCACCCAAGACCAAAUAUUUGAGAUCCCUGAUCUAGAGAAUUCCACUUUUCUAAGUGAUAUAAGCCAGACCUAGAAAGACAAAUAUUCCAUUUGUUCUCUUAUCUGUGGAGUAUGGAGAGUAUAGAAAUUGUGUGGGUGUCACAUUAUUUGCUAUAUAGUUAUAAAUAGUGCUUCACUGCAUUAUACCAUGCACCUGACAAUAUACCCUUCUUUCCCCUACUUUAUAUAAGGUCACUGUCGUGAAUUCCACCAUUUUGUGAUAUUGGUUUUCAAGAAAAACAGUAUAUAUGUAUACAGUAUCUACAUAUGAAGUGAAUAUAGCAAAAUGUUAAAAAUUGUUUAAACAUUUUUAAGUGAUAAUUUAAAUUUUUUAAAGAAAAAUACUAUUUCCCAAUGCAAAUUUGAUUUUAAAAUGUGCAAUCAUCCUUCAAAGUUUUAAAUCCAUUGAUAAGGCUAAAUAUUUCUUCAGUCAGUUUAUUCAGGGAUACAUACAUACACACACAAACAAAUCAUAUCACCACCAAAGUAAUGUAAUAGGACUUAAUCUAUAAUCCACCUUAUAAUAAACUAGCAAAUAAUUUUUUAGCAGUAAUUUCAGCAGUCAUAAUUGGAACUAGAUCUAGAAGGCAAACUAUUUAAAAGUUGGGGCAGGCAAGGCCCACAUCAGAGUAGUUGGGGUGGAUACCUGGCUGUGACCCCUGACCCAAGCUUCUUGCUAAUGCAGGCCGAGGGAGACAGUUGUGAUGACUAGAGUAACCGAGUUCCUGCCAGCCACACGGGAGACCUGGGUUAAGUUCCUGGCUUCCAGUUUCAGCCUCUCAGCCAUCGCAGGUAUCUGGGGAGUGACAGUGGAACAUCCUUUCUCUUUUGUCUGUCGGUCUGUUCCUCUCAACAAAGACUAAGCUGAGCUUGCAGAACUACUUUAUAGUUUUACAUUAGAUAAUGAUUAUACAUUAAUAAUUGUGAAAAAACACCCAUGAUUUCAAAAUUUUUUUUGUAUCAACAUAAGCAUGAACUUUUUGAAGUACCCUCAUAUGCAUGUAAAAUGAAAGAAAAGAUUGUUCUGUUUCAAAAUGUUGUGUCAAAUGUCAUAAAUGUGUAAAAAUGUUAUGUAGGAAAUUACAACUUUUGAAAAGCACUGAGAAUGGCUUUAAAGAGGGACUUUAGUGUGUACUCUAAGUUAUUGUGCAGCUGCAAAACAUUCUUUUUAAAUAAUUAACUUGAAAGUAAAAUAUUUAUUUAUUUUACUUGAAAGUCAGUUACAGAGAGUCAGAGGCAGAGAGAGGUCUUCCAUCCACUGGUUCACUCCCCAAAUGGCCGCAAUGGCGGGAGGUGGGCCGACCUGAAGCCAGAAGCCAGGAGUUUUUUCCCGGUCUCCCACCGGGAAAAAGACUUGGGGCCAUCUUGCACUGCUUUCCCAGACCACAGCAGAGAGCUGGAUCGGAAGUGGAGCUGCUAGGACCUAAAUCAGCACCCACAUGGAGAUGCCAGCACAGCAGGCAACCCCCCCCCCCCUUUUUUAAGAUUAAUAUUCUCUUUUAGAACAAUGAAGGUAAACUUUUGAUGAGCUUCCAACCCCAAGUCUGGUUCCAGUUUAUCAACUCCACUACUCUGUCAUCUUUGACCUAAGAAUUCUCCACAAAGGCCAGAUUUUUGUGUAAGCAGUAAAACAGGAAAGUGGUAGGGGCAGCACUCAGUAGAGUAAGACUUUACUAUCUUCACAAGGUUAAUAUCACCAGCAAGUCUUACCCGAGUAUAUUAAAUAAAUAAGAGGAAAAGAAAGGAUAUACCAGGUAAUUGGGAUGAGGAGAAGAGAAAAGGCACCCAAAGCAAAGAGAAACUUUGAAGAAAAUUGAAAAGGAUACUGCAGUAGGAGCCAACAAGAAUUUUAAGGCAAUCCAGUAAGAUCAAAAGUAAAAAGGAAAAUGUCACACACAGGAAAAUUUAGGAAUAAUAAGCAGUCAUCCCAAAGCCAUAAUCAACUUACAGCUCUUAACAUGAAUGAGGGGGGAAAAUAAUCCAUGGAAAUUUUUUUAAAUUGCAUCAAAAUUACAAUAGAUCCUCUUUGGUCCAUUUUUAGUGAAUCAGCUUACAGAUUUUGGUUUGUAAUUUGAAAGAUUCUUAUUUUUUCUCUCAAAACCUAAACACUAUUCUCUUUUCUCUUUCCCUGCUUCUUUAUACUCAAUAUUUCCCAUAGGACAGAACUAUGUGACCAUUUUCAUAGCUGACUCAACUACUUUUUAGAGAAAACUGAAAUACAUUAGUUAGAUUCAAGAAACCACGGCAGGCUUCUUUGUUGCCUCAGAAUUAAAAGGUUUUAGUUCAUGAACAAACGAUACUCUCCACAGUUAAAUGAAGUUUCUUCAAAUACAGCUAACACAUAAAAUGUGAAGAGAACAACAGAGCUUAUUCCUUUAAUGUGAACUAAGGCACAUAAAAGCACACAUGCCCUCCAGUUCUAGUCCUGGCUGCUCCAUUUCCCAUCAAGCUCCCUGCUAUGGCCUAGUAAAGCAGUAUAAGAUGGCCUAAGUCCUUGGGCCCCUGUACCCACGUGGGAGACCCAGAGGAAGUUCUUUCUUGUCUCCUGGCUUUGGGUCACCCUGCUCCAGCCACUGCAGCCAUCUGGGGAGUGAACCAGUGUAUGCUGGUUCAUGAGUAAAUGAGUCAAUGCUCAUUUAGCAUAAACUAUAAUUUGAAUUUUGUUCUUUCCUGAGCUAGCAAUAUGUCGUAUGACACACUCGCAUGGUGCAGGUUAACUACCAGGCACAGCUCAUCAGCCACAGAUUGCUAACAACCAGUACUGCAAUCCACAGUGUACUAUAAUCAAUAAACUAUAUGACACAUUCAAACUUUAUUGCAAAAUUGGUUUAGUAUUAGAUGAUUCUGCCCAGCUGUAGAGCAGUGUGAGCAUUCUAAGCACACCUAAGGUGGGCAAGGCUAAGCUAGGCUGUUCAGUGGGGUAAGUGUGUUAAAGGCACUUUCAACUAAGAGAUUUUCAACUUAAGAUGUAUUUACUGAUACACAGCCCCAUCCUAAGUUGAGUUUACUGUACACUUAAAAUUUUAUUAAGAGGGUUAAAUCUCAUGUAACUGUCUUCACUUUAAAAAAAAAAAAAAGACAUAGAAAGUUGAAAUAUACUGAAGUUGCAGAAGUUAUCCAUGUAAUUAGCUUUUGUAUUUUCUUAAAUUAUAAAAAUCUGUGAUUAUAGAAAAUAUGAGGGAAACCCAUUAUCACAUCAACAAAGGAUAAGCAAUAUUAUUAUUCUGGUAUAUUUCUUCCAAUCAUGUGACUGUGAUAAUAUAUUUUCUAAAAACUGGUAGCAUACUACAAUUUUAUCCAUUUUUUUAUUUACUUGAUCGCAUACAUUUCCGAUAUCAUGAUCCUUCAUAACAUGAAGAUCCAUCCAUGAAUAAGCUUUCUUACCGCUUGCUUAUUUCAGGGAUAUAGAAAAGUCUUGGUCAACAGCUCUGAUUAUUUCCUCAGGCAAUUAUUUUAAGAGUAUUGCUUAGUCAAAGUAAGAACAUUUUUUAAGGCUCUUGAAAAAAUUGCCAAGUUUCCCUCUGAGAGGGGUAUUUACCACUUAAUGGAUGACAGCCAUAGAGAGAAAAGCCUGGUGCUAUGUAUGGAAAGACUUACCAGGGAGUCUUCUGUAAGUCAGCAGGGACCAAAAACAAUGGUGCUUCUAGGGAAGAAAUCUUAUCUUCUGGUUGUGUAAGAAGUAUGACCAGUUGGUCAACAGCUCCAUCAAGUUCUACCAGAAGGAGUGCCUGUGAAAUGAAAUGCAGCUUUAAAAAUGCCCAAUGGAUGAGUCACAAGACAGAGGACUAGGGCCAUGUUCCACAAGCCCCACCUGCCUAACAAUUCACCCGCACGGAAGAAGCUAAAAAAAAAAAAAACAAAAAAACAAAGAAACGCUGCCAAAGCCUCUCUUGCUUUGCAAUAUAAAUCUCUGGGUACAAUAUUUUUAAAAUACCAUAUAAAGAACUGCCAAUGAUGGGUUUCAAAUUUUGACAAGAUAGGAAAACAAAGACCAGCAAACCAAAGAAGUGGAUGAGAACAUAUAUAUUCUACAUAUCGUUCUAUUUCAAAAGCUUCAGGGUCUAGUGAAAUCGGGUGUU
Lepus europaeus (European hare) is the source of this 10225-nucleotide long non-coding RNA. RefSeq lists it as uncharacterized. The transcript has 13 exons. The record is from RefSeq and is a predicted model, not a curated record. NCBI's taxonomy places the organism in Eukaryota, Metazoa, Chordata, Mammalia, Lagomorpha, Leporidae.